Molecule: long non-coding RNA, 1762 nt
Filed under: Chlamydomonas reinhardtii
Lineage: Eukaryota; Viridiplantae; Chlorophyta; Chlorophyceae; Chlamydomonadales; Chlamydomonadaceae
Description: long non-coding RNA (CREI_LNC000196)
Source: RNAcentral
UGGCAUACGUGAGGGAAUGAGCGGCGGCGGGUAAAGGAGUGAGGAUGGGAUCAGCUGCAGGCAAGUGCACUGGUGUGUGUGUGUGUGUGUGUGUGUUUGUUUCCUGCGGCCCCGUGGCCCCAGCCGCGUAUCGCGGCACGGAUUGUUACUUCCAUACCUGAACGUUGGAUGGUAAAGCCGCUGAGGCCAUGACACAUGCACUGACCAACUCAUUCGUAGUCCUGUGGUUGGACAUGUAGAAACGGGUCCACGAAGGUAACCACUGCCGGCAACGCCACCACCUCGGGGGGCACACACACGCACACUCACCCCACCCAACCAACCAAACACCCAUCCACCCAUCCCCAAUGCCCUACUCCACGUGUACCAAACGUACCAGCGCUGCCUUCCCCCCGCCGGCCUCCCCUCCUACCCCGGCCUCCACGCCUGAACACCCCAACCCCAGACCUCGCAGCGGUCUGCAUCUCCCGCGACGGCCUGCAUCAUCCACGCCUGCUUCCCAUCCCCCCACGCGCCGCCGCCCCUCACCUCUGCGGCCUCUCGAAGCCCUGUCCUGCAGCAGCGCUCGUCGGCGGGGCCGUGGGGCUGGGGCGUGUGCAGCGCCAGAGCCGCAGGUGAUGGGGUGCGCAGGUGCAGGUGUUGAGGAGGGCGGGAAGGCGCCGGCCGCCAGCGAAACUGGAUAUGCCAGUGCGUCAGCGGCGCAGGCGAACCUAGUGGCAGGUACGGGCGGCGCGGGCUGAGGAGGUGCAGGGGAAGAGCAGGAGCACAAGAAGGGCAUACGUGAGGGAAUGAGCGGCGGCGGGUAAAGGAGUGAGGAUGGGAUCACACACCCACACACGCACACCCAUCCACACACACACACACACAACCACACACACACACACACGUACGUCAGACGUACCAGCGCUGCCUUCCCCCCGCCGGCCUCCCCUCCUCCCCCGGCCUCCACGCCUGAACACCCCAACCCCAGACCUCGCAGCGGUCUGCAUCUCCCACGACGGCCUGCAUCCUCCGCGCCUGCUUCCCAUCCCCCCACGCGCCGCCGCCCCUCACCUCUGCGGCCUCUCGAAGCCCUGUCCUGCAGCAGCGCUCGUCGGCGGGGCCGUGGGGCUGGGGCGUGUGCAGCGCCAGAGCCGCCGGUGAUGGGGUGCGCAGGUGCAGGUGUUGAGGAGGGCGGGAAGGCGCCGGCCGCCAGUGAAACUGGAUACGCCAGUGCGUCAGCGGCGCAGGCGAACCUAGUGGCAGGUACGGGCGGCGCGGGCUGAGGAGGUGCAGGGGAAGAGCAGGAGCACAAGAAUGGCAUACGUGAGGGAAUGAGCGGCGGCGGGUAAAGGAGUGAGGAUGGGAUCAGCUGCAGGCAAGUGCACUGGUGUGUGUGUGUGUGUGUGUUUGUUUCCUGCGGCCCCGUGGCCCCAGCCGCGUAUCGCGGCACGGAUUGUUACUUCCAUACCUGAACGUUGGAUGGUGAAGCCGCUGAGGCCAUGACACAUGCACUGACCAACUCAUUCGUAGUCCUGUGGUUGGACAUGUAGAAACGGGUCCACGAAGGUAACCACUGCCGGCAACGCCACCACCUCGGGCGGCACACACACGCACACUCACCCCACCCAACCAACCAAACACCCAUCCACCCAUCCCCAAUGCCCUACUCCACGUGUACCAAACGUACCAGCGCUGCCUUCCCCCCGCCGGCCUCCCCUCCUACCCCGGCCUCCACGCCUGAACACCCCAACCCCAGACCUCGCAGCGGUCUGCAUCUCCC